AACUGAUACUACCUGCGGGAACCUGCGGAGGGAUCAUUACUGGGUUUGGCUUCGGCCGUCUCCCGCCCUUGUCAUUGAUUGUCGUUUCGGUCGCAAGACCGGCAGCAACUCUCAAAAAAUUUGAAGUCUGAUACUUAUAAAAUCAUACAAAACUUUUAACAAUGGAUCUCU
Molecule: unclassified non-coding RNA, 171 nt
Filed under: soil metagenome
Description: partial contains 5.8S ribosomal RNA, internal transcribed spacer 2, and large subunit ribosomal RNA
Source: RNAcentral